AAUGACGGUACUUGAGGAGGAAGCCCCGGCUAACUACGUGCCAGCAGCCGCGGUAAUACGGAGGGGGCUAGCGUUAUCCGGAUUUACUGGGCGUAAAGGGGGCGUAGGCGGUCUUUCAAGUCAGGAGUGAAAGGCUACGGCUCAACCGUAGUAAGCUCUUGAAACUGGGAGACUUGAGUGCAGGAGAGGAGAGUGGAAUUCCUAGUGUAGCGGUGAAAUGCGUAGAUAUUAGGAGGAACACCAGUUGCGAAGGCGGCUCUCUGGACUGU
RNAcentral lists this ribosomal RNA (269 nucleotides) under Clostridioides difficile. RNAcentral describes it as "partial 16S ribosomal RNA". It matches the Rfam family "Bacterial small subunit ribosomal RNA", at positions 468 to 737 of the family's 1533-position model. Lineage: Bacteria; Bacillati; Bacillota; Clostridia; Peptostreptococcales; Peptostreptococcaceae. The record is from RNAcentral.